GGCGGCGUGCCUAAUACAUGCAAGUCGAACGCUUUCUUCACCGGAGCUGCACACCGAAGAAAGGAGUGGCGAACGGGUGAGUAACACGUGGGUAACCUGCCCAUCAGAAGGGGAUAACACUUGGAAACAGGUGCUAAUACCGUAUAAUAAUCGAAACCGCAUGGUUUCGGUUUGAAAGGCGCUUUUGCGUCACUGAUGGAUGGACCCGCGGUGCAUUAGCUAGUUGGUGAGGUAACGGCUCACCAAGGCAACGAUGCAUAGCCGACCUGAGAGGGUGAUCGGCCACAUUGGGACUGAGACACGGCCCAAACUCCUACGGGAGGCAGCAGUAGGGAAUCUUAGGCAAUGGACGCAAGUCUGACCGAGCAACGCCGCGUGAGUGAAGAAGGUUUUCGGAUCGUAAAACUCUGUUGUUAGAGAAGAACAAGGAUGAGAGUAAAAUGUUCAUCCCUUGACGGUAUCUAACCAGAAAGCCACGGCUAACUACGUGCCAGCCGCAGC
Molecule: ribosomal RNA, 501 nt
Filed under: uncultured bacterium
Lineage: Bacteria
Description: bacterial SSU rRNA
Rfam family: Bacterial small subunit ribosomal RNA
Source: RNAcentral